ACCUGCGGAGGGAUCAUUGCUGGAACGCGCUUCGGCGCACCCAGAAACCCUUUGUGAACUUAUACCUAUCUGUUGCCUCGGCGUAGGCCGGCCUCUUCACUGAGGCCCCCUGGAAACAGGGAGCAGCCCGCCGGCGGCCAACUAAACUCUUGUUUCUAUAGUGAAUCUCUGAGUAAAAACAUAAAUGAAUCAAAACUUUCAACAACGGAUCUCUUGGUUCUGGCAUCGAUGAAGAACGCAGCGAAAUGCGAUAAGUAAUGUGAAUUGCAGAAUUCAGUGAAUCAUCGAAUCUUUGAACGCACAUUGCGCCCUCUGGUAUUCCGGAGGGCAUGCCUGUUCGAGCGUCAUUUCAACCCUCAAGCCUGGCUUGGUGAUGGGGCACUGCCUUCUAGCGAGGGCAGGCCCUGAAAUCUAGUGGCGAGCUCGCUAGGACCCCGAGCGUAGUAGUUAUAUCUCGUUCUGGAAGGCCCUGGCGGUGCCCUGCCGUUAAACCCCCAACUUCUGAAAAUUUGACCUCGGAUCAGGUAGGAAUACCCGCUGAACUUAAGCAUAUCAAUAAGCGGAGGAA
RNAcentral lists this ribosomal RNA (568 nucleotides) under Diaporthe sp. 60AS/S. RNAcentral describes it as "eukaryotic LSU rRNA". The stretch from base 194 to 347 matches the Rfam family "5.8S ribosomal RNA". The record is from RNAcentral. Lineage: Eukaryota; Fungi; Ascomycota; Sordariomycetes; Diaporthales; Diaporthaceae.